RNAcentral lists this ribosomal RNA (301 nucleotides) under uncultured bacterium. Its description in RNAcentral is "partial 16S ribosomal RNA". It matches the Rfam family "Bacterial small subunit ribosomal RNA", at positions 509 to 807 of the family's 1533-position model. The record is from RNAcentral.
CAGCAGCCGCGGUAAUACAGAGGGUGCGAGCGUUAAUCGGAAUUACUGGGCGUAAAGCGUGCGUAGGUGGUGGUUUAAGUCCGUUGUGAAAGCCCUGGGCUCAACCUGGGAAUUGCAGUGGAUACUGGGUCACUAGAGUGUGGUAGAGGAUAGUGGAAUUUCCGGUGUAGCAGUGAAAUGCGUAGAGAUCGGAAGGAACAUCUGUGGCGAAGGCGACUAUCUGGGCCAACACUGACACUGAGGCACGAAAGCGUGGGGAGCAAACAGGAUUAGAUACCCCCGUAGUCCCUGUCUCUUAUAC